AGUCAUCGUAACCCCCAUGCUGCAGUGUUUAAGGUGCCUGGACAAUCCCUUGGGGUAGUGACAAUGUAUGGUGCAAUGGUCUUUUACACCAAAACAGUUAAGAAUAAAUUUUUCUUUUGUCCUCCUUUGAGAUACUUAUGUACAAGUAGCUAUUUAGUAGCAUUUACUAUUUACUGGUAAGUCAGAUGACAGAUCCUCAUUCACGCAUGCGCAAAUUCAAACAUAUUUGCCAGCCUCCAAAGCAUCAGGGGAAACUCAAGUUCAUUCAUAAAUUAGAUCCUUGUAAGUGCAUGUGAAAAAUUGUGCCUUUCAUUGUUGUAAAUAUACCAUUUGAUAAUUCCGCUGUAGAGAUUCUAAACAUUAUAGAGGAUGCUAGCACGUAACACUAAU
Non-coding RNA from Pelobates cultripes (western spadefoot toad), 390 nucleotides. NCBI's taxonomy places the organism in Eukaryota, Metazoa, Chordata, Amphibia, Anura, Pelobatidae. The record is from the annotation of a GenBank genome assembly.